Molecule: ribosomal RNA, 253 nt
Filed under: uncultured bacterium
Lineage: Bacteria
Description: partial 16S ribosomal RNA
Rfam family: Bacterial small subunit ribosomal RNA
Source: RNAcentral
UACGAAGGGGGCAAGCGUUGUUCGGAAUUACUGGGCGUAAAGGGCUCGUAGGCGGCCAACUAAGUCCGACGUGAAAUCCCAAAGCUUAACUUUGGAACUGCGUCGGAUACUGGAUGGCUUGAAUUCGGGAGAGGGAUGCAGAAUUCCAGGUGUAGCGGUGAAAUGCGUAGAUAUCUGGAGGAAUACCGGUGGCGAAGGCGGCAUCAUGGACCGACAUUGACGCUGAGGAGCGAAAGCUAGGGGAGCAAACGGG